Long non-coding RNA from Mesocricetus auratus (golden hamster), 448 nucleotides. RefSeq lists it as uncharacterized. The record is from RefSeq and is a predicted model, not a curated record. The transcript is spliced from 4 exons. NCBI's taxonomy places the organism in Eukaryota, Metazoa, Chordata, Mammalia, Rodentia, Cricetidae.
GAAGCUGCUUGAGAGCACACCUGAAACAGAAGCCAGGGAGGUAGGCAAUUGACCGAUGAGGUACAGACGAUAGCCUCAUUCCCAGUGUUAUCGGAGGCAUCAUGGAUACCACAUCUACUGAUUGGCUAGAAGCACGGUCCAACACCACUGUGAUACAGUGACUCUGGAGAUGCCCUGAAUGGAAUUAGAGUCUGAUGAGAUCCAGAUGUGAAACCCUCAGCUUCUUCUCCAACAACACAUCUACUCGUGUGCCUUCAUGCUCCCUGCCAUUAUGACAAUAACUGAUCUUCUGAAACUGUAAGCCAUUCCCAGCUUUGCAUGAGGGAUGUUGUGCAUGAAUCAGAGACAGAGAAUUUCAUGUGAUGUUCUUCUGAAGCAGGUCAUUAUUUUCUUUAAAAUGCCUUAUUAAAAAAAAAGACUUUCCAAGAACAAAAACCAGAGACUCGUG